Molecule: ribosomal RNA, 269 nt
Filed under: uncultured prokaryote
Description: partial 16S ribosomal RNA
Rfam family: Bacterial small subunit ribosomal RNA
Source: RNAcentral
UACGGAGGAUCCGAGCGUUAUCCGGAUUUAUUGGGUUUAAAGGGUGCGCAGGCGGAAGAUUAAGUCGGCGGUGAAAUUUUGCAGCUCAACUGUAAAAGUGCCAUCGAUACUGGUUUUCUUGAGUGUGGAUGAAGUAGGCGGAGUUUGUGGUGUAGCGGUGAAAUUCAUAGAUAUCACGAGGAACUCCGAUUGCGCAGGCAGCUUACUAAACUACUACUGACGCUCAGGCACGAAGGCGUGGGGAUCAAACAGGAUUAGAUACCCGCGUA